CCUACGGGUGGCAGCAGUGGGGAAUAUUGGGCAAUGGGCGCAAGCCUGACCCAGCAACGCCGCGUGAGGGCAGCAGGCUUUCGGGUUGUUAACUUCUUUUGUCAGGGAAGAGUAGAAGACGGUACCUGACGAAUAAGCAACGGCUAACUACGUGACAGCCGCCGCGGUAAGACGUAGGUGGCAAGCGUUGUCCGGAUGUACUGGGUGUAAAGGGCGUGUAGCCGGGUUGACAAGUCAGAUGUGAAAUCCUUCGGCUUAACCGCAGAAAGGCAUUUGAAACUGUUGGUCUUGAGUACUGGAGGGGCGGACGGAAUUCCUGGUGUAGCGGUGAAAUGCGUAGAUAUUAGGAGGAACACCAGUGGCGAAGGCGGUCUGCUGGACAGCAACUGACGGUGAGGCGCGAAAGCGUGGGGAGCAAACAGGAUUAGAUACCCCAGUAGUC
RNAcentral lists this ribosomal RNA (442 nucleotides) under uncultured bacterium. Its description in RNAcentral is "partial 16S ribosomal RNA". It matches the Rfam family "Bacterial small subunit ribosomal RNA", at positions 338 to 795 of the family's 1533-position model. The record is from RNAcentral.